Molecule: ribosomal RNA, 253 nt
Filed under: uncultured bacterium
Lineage: Bacteria
Description: partial 16S ribosomal RNA
Rfam family: Bacterial small subunit ribosomal RNA
Source: RNAcentral
UACAGAGGGGGCAAGCGUUGCUCGGAAUUACUGGGCGUAAAGGGCGCGUAGGCGGCCUGCUAAGUCGAACGUGAAAUCCCUGGGCUCAACCCAGGAACUGCGUCCGAUACUGGUUGGCUUGAAUCCGGGAGAGGGAUGUGGAAUUCCAGGUGUAGCGGUGAAAUGCGUAGAUAUCUGGAGGAACACCGGUGGCGAAGGCGACAUCCUGGACCGGUAUUGACGCUGAGGAGCGAAAGCGUGGGGAGCGAACAGG